UUAUAAGCUUUCAAUUAUCAUUUGGAGAACUUAAACACCAUAUAGCUAACCUGAAAAACAUGUGUGUCACGACAUGGGAUAACCUUCGUCAUGAUGUCUCUCCGGUGGGCAAUGCCACCCAAGCAACUCCACAACAAAAAGACUGUUGAAGAAGGACAACACAAUCAUAGGGGCAUAUGAUCGACCCAGACAAGAUUAGCGGAG
Molecule: long non-coding RNA, 204 nt
Filed under: Lupinus angustifolius (narrow-leaved blue lupine)
Lineage: Eukaryota; Viridiplantae; Streptophyta; Magnoliopsida; Fabales; Fabaceae
Description: long non-coding RNA (LANG_LNC002669)
Source: RNAcentral